ACGGCUCAGUAACACGUAGUCAAUCUACCCUAUGGACGGGAAUAACCUCGGGAAACUGAGAAUAAUGCCCGAUAGAACAUUAUGCCUGGAAUGGUUUAUGUUUCAAAUGAUUUAUCGCCAUAGGAUGGGACUGCGGCCUAUCAGUUUGUUGGUGAGGUAAUGGCCCACCAAGACUAUUACAGGUACGGGCUCUGAGAGGAGUAGCCCGGAGAUGGGUACUGAGACACGGACCCAGGCCCUAUGGGGCGCAGCAGGCGAGAAAACUUUGCAAUGUGCGAAAGCACGACAAGGUUAAUCCGAGUGGUUUCUGCUAAAGAAACCUUUUGUCAGUCCUAGAAACACUAACGAAUAAGGGGUGGGCAAGUUCUGGUGUCAGCCGCCGCGGUAAAACCAGCACCUCAAGUGGUCAGGAUGAUUAUUGGGCCUAAAGCAUCCGUAGCCGGCUCUGUAAGUUUUCGGUUAAAUCUGUACGCUUAACGUACAGGCUGCCGGGAAUACUGCAGAGCUAGGGAGUGGGAGAGGUAGACGGUACUCGGUAGGAAGUGGUAAAAUGCUUUGAUCUAUCGAUGACCACCUGUGGCGAAGGCGGUCUACCAGAACACGUCCGACGGUGAGGGAUGAAAGCUGGGGGAGCAAACCGGAUUAGAUACCCGGGUAGUCCCAGCUGUAAACUAUGCAAACUCAGUGAUGCAUUGGCUUGUGGCCAAUGCAGUGCUGCAGGGAAGCCGUUAAGUUUGCCGCCUGGGAAGUACGUACGCAAGUAUGAAACUUAAAGGAAUUGGCGGGGGAGCAC
RNAcentral lists this ribosomal RNA (793 nucleotides) under uncultured archaeon. Its description in RNAcentral is "bacterial SSU rRNA". It matches the Rfam family "Archaeal small subunit ribosomal RNA", at positions 85 to 879 of the family's 1478-position model. The record is from RNAcentral.